RNAcentral lists this ribosomal RNA (496 nucleotides) under uncultured bacterium. RNAcentral's name for it is "partial 16S ribosomal RNA". It matches the Rfam family "Bacterial small subunit ribosomal RNA", at positions 28 to 506 of the family's 1533-position model. The record is from RNAcentral.
GAUGAACGCUGGCGGCGUGCCUAAUACAUGCCAGUCGAGCGAACAGACGAGGAGCUUGCUCCUCUGACGUUAGCGGCGGACGGGUGAGUAACACGUGGAUAACCUACCUAUAAGACUGGGAUAACUUCGGGAAACCGGAGCUAAUACCGGAUAAUAUAUUGAACCGCAUGGUUCAAUAGUGAAAGACGGUUUUGCUGUCACUUAUAGAUGGAUCCGCGCCGCAUUAGCUAGUUGGUAAGGUAACGGCUUACCAAGGCAACGAUGCGUAGCCGACCUGAGAGGGGGAUCGGCCACACUGGAACUGAGACACGGCCCAGACCCCUAGGGGAGGCAGCAGGAGGGAAUCUUCCGAAAUGGGCGAAAGCCUGACGGAGCAACGCCGGGGGGGUGAAGAAGGUCUUCGGAUCGUAAAACCCUUUUAUUGGGGAAAAACAAAUGUGUAAGUAACUAUGCACGUCUUGACGGUACCAAAUCAAAAAGCCACGGCUAACUACGU